CUGCCAUGAUGACAUCUUAGGACACCUUUGGAUUCACCAUGAAAACAACACGUUAGUCUGAGCAGA
Molecule: small nucleolar RNA, 66 nt
Organism: Larimichthys crocea (large yellow croaker)
Lineage: Eukaryota; Metazoa; Chordata; Actinopteri; Sciaenidae
Gene: SNORD58
Rfam family: Small nucleolar RNA SNORD58
About the family: snoRNA U58 is found in introns 1, 3 and 6 of the ribosomal protein RPL17 gene in humans.
Source: Ensembl